Molecule: microRNA, 23 nt
Filed under: Echinops telfairi (small Madagascar hedgehog)
Lineage: Eukaryota; Metazoa; Chordata; Mammalia; Afrosoricida; Tenrecidae
Description: Ete-Mir-17-P4c_3p* (star (passenger))
Source: RNAcentral
ACUGCGGUAUGGGCACUUUCAGU